GGAGAGGUGCCGGAGUGGUUGAACGGGGCGCUCUCGAAAAGCGUUGAAUGUCAAAGUUCCGAGGGUUCGAAUCCCUCCUUCUCCGCAA
Molecule: transfer RNA, 88 nt
Rfam family: tRNA
About the family: Transfer RNA (tRNA) molecules are approximately 80 nucleotides in length. Their secondary structure includes four short double-helical elements and three loops (D, anti-codon, and T loops).